This 429-nucleotide ribosomal RNA is filed under the name Verrucomicrobiota bacterium. RNAcentral's name for it is "Verrucomicrobia bacterium partial 16S ribosomal RNA". It matches the Rfam family "Bacterial small subunit ribosomal RNA", at positions 355 to 776 of the family's 1533-position model. Lineage: Bacteria; Pseudomonadati; Verrucomicrobiota. The record is from RNAcentral.
UAGGGAAUCUUCCGCAAUGGACGAAAGUCUGACGGAGCAACGCCGCGUGAGUGAAGAAGGAUUUCGGUUCGUAAAACUCUGUUGUUAGGGAAGAAAAAAUGUAUAGUAACUAUAUACAAAAGAGACGGUACCUAACCAGAAAGCCACGGCUAACUACGUGCCAGCAGCCGCGGUAAUACGUAGGUGGCAAGCGUUGUCCGGAAUUAUUGGGCGUAAAGCGCGCGCAGGUGGUUUAGAAAGUCUGAUGUGAAAGCCCACGGCUCAACCGUGGAGGGUCAUUGGAAACUAAUAAACUUGAGUGCAGGAGAGAAAAGUGGAAUUCCUAGGGUAGCGGUGAAAUGCGUAGAGAUUAGGAGGAACACCGGUGGCGAAAGCGGCUUUGUGGCCUGCAACUGACACUGAGGCGCGAAAGCGUGGGGAGCAAACAGG